Molecule: non-coding RNA, 1443 nt
Organism: Nelumbo nucifera (sacred lotus)
Lineage: Eukaryota; Viridiplantae; Streptophyta; Magnoliopsida; Proteales; Nelumbonaceae
Source: RefSeq, a predicted model, not a curated record
GAAAACUGCCCGCUCGUCUCUCUCGUUCGUGUGCAAGAUUCACACGUGAUCUUGAACUAAUAGAGGAUUAGAGGUCUUCUAACUCGAGUUCAGAUCUGCUACCAACCACUCUCCCAACAUCGUUCCAAAUAACUCACUGCAACCGUACAUCGGGAACAUCUCCGGAGAUACUCCCAAUGCACGCUGAGAUGUGGGAGUGGGGCGCCAAUCCGAACUCUUCAAUUUCAUCCUUCCUCCAUCUAGGGUUAGGGGUUUUGAUUUGAUGCUACGUUUAUAGGGAUUUGGGGACGUUGCAUCAUAUUCUCUGAGGAAGCUACAAGGUUCUCUGGUAUCCAAAUGUCUUGUGCUGAAAAUUUUAAGGACACUAUACAACAGGCUGGUCCAGCUAUGAGAUUGGAUUAUUCUCUUUCUGUCUCAUUUUGGUUUGUGUUAGUGAGUUGCUUGUUGAGAUCCGCCUUGAUCAUCCUCAACAAUGAAACAAAGGUAUUUGUCACAGAUUGUUGAUUCAUCUACUAGUUACUCGUAACUGGCUCAACUUAAGGUCAACCACAAGUUAAAGAAAUUCCAUACUCCAGUAUCUUCAUCUCAAUAUGAUCUUUGGGGGGACCAUCACAGCUGGCUGGUUUUCUACAUCAUUAGCACAUAAUGUAGACCCCCCUCCCCCUUGAGAUGUGGUGGAUGUCACUGACAAUAACAACAACGUUACGAGUCUCAGAAUCCUACGGUCCAAGACAUUGGUCAUGGUACCAAUGCUGAAGUUGAGCAGGCCUCUACUACAACAACUCCUCAACAUGAAGCCCAUAGGAAGAGAAAUGUAGACCCCCCUCCCCCUCGAGAUGUUGAGAAUGAAAUUGACAAUAACAAUGUUAUGAGUUUCAGAAUCCUAUGGACCAAGACAUUGGUCAUGCUACCAAGUACCAAUACUGAAGUUGAGCAGGCUCUACUACAACCACUCGACAUGAAGCCUGUAGGAAGAGAAAUUUUUGACUUUAUCAAUUAAUGAACUGAAUUCCUAUGCAAGUAUAAAAAUAGAUAAGCUAGUGGAGUCAAUUAAUGUGCUUAUUGAUAAACCAGAAAAGUACUCCAUUUGGAGGGGCUGACUCAAUGUGACUAUAGCGGACUCUUCAAGUUUCUGUGAGUGUCACUUGUAGGAUAGGGUACACAAUAAGAUGUUUCCACAUGUUAGGAGGAAUUGGAUUGUUGACAUUCUUAACAAGUAGAGUUCGUCUAGGUGACUGAUUAUGUUUGGAAGUGAUUUUUAAUUUGUAACUUAUUUACAAUAUUUAGCACUGUUCUUUGGACCAUAGUAGUUGUAAUUGUGAAAUGUUUUAUUUGAAUUUUAAUGUAUGUGAUAUGACGUGGUUGACUACUAUUUUUUCUAAUGUGUUAUGUGGUCCAAUUCUACUUGCUUGUGUUGUGCUGGUCAUUUAUGAAAUGCACAUU